This 1158-nucleotide ribosomal RNA is filed under the name human gut metagenome. RNAcentral's name for it is "bacterial LSU rRNA". It matches the Rfam family "Bacterial large subunit ribosomal RNA", at positions 837 to 1980 of the family's 2925-position model. The record is from RNAcentral.
ACGCGGAGAUAGCUGGUUCUCCCCGAAAUAGCUUUAGGGCUAGCCUCAAGUAGUAAGUAUAGGCGGUAGAGCACUGAUCGGGCUAGGGGCCAUAAAGGUUACCGAACCCUGUCAAACUCCGAAUGGUUAUACUGUAGAGCUUGGGAGUCAGACUACGAGUGAUAAGAUCCGUGGUCAAAAGGGAAACAGCCCAGACCACCAGCUAAGGUCCCCAAUGUCGUACUAAGUGGAAAAGGAUGUGGGGUCUCUAAAACAACCAGGAUGUUGGCUUAGAAGCAGCCACCAUUUAAAGAGUGCGUAAUAGCUCACUGGUCGAGAGACCCUGCGCCGAAGAUUACCGGGGCUAAAGUACGAAACCGAAGCUGUGGCUACGACUUAGGUCGUGGGGUAGGGGAGCGUUCUGUGAGGGCUGAAGUCGUUCUGUAAGGAACGGUGGACUUCACAGAAGUGAGAAUGUUGGUAUGAGUAGCGAAAAGAAUGGUGAGAAUCCAUUCCACCGAAAGCAUAAGGAUUCCUGGGCAACGAUCGUCGUCCCAGGGUAAGUCGGGACCUAAUCCGAGGCAUGGAGCGUAGGAGAUGGACAACUGGCAGAUAUUCCAGUACCGGUAAUGAUUGUUUGAGCGAUGGAGUGACACAGGAGGGCAGGCAGGCAGGAGAUUGGUUGUUCCUGUACAAGCGUGUAGGAUGGGUUGCAGGCAAAUCCGCAACCUGUGAGUCUGAGGCGUGAUGUGGAGGUUCCGGAAACGGAACUGAAGCUGCUGACCCCACACUGUCGAGAAAAGCUUCUAGUUAGAGAAUUACCGCCCGUACCGUAAACCGACACAGGUAUGCGGGGAGAGAAUCCUAAGGUGCGCGGGAGAACCCUCGUUAAGGAACUCGGCAAAAUGUACCCGUAACUUCGGGAUAAGGGUAGCCGCUGUUGUGAAGUCUGAACAGAUGGAGCAUGAGGCGGUCGCAGAGAAGAGGCCCAAGCGACUGUUUACCACAAACACAGGUGCCUGCUAAAGAGAAAUCUGACGUAUAGGUGCUGACACCUGCCCAGUGCCGGAAGGUUAAGGAAGGAUGUCCGGAGCAAUCCAAAGCAUUCGACCGAAGCCCCGGUGAACGGCGGCCGUAACUAUAACGGUCCUAAGGUAGCGAAAUUCCUUGUCGGGUAAG